Molecule: long non-coding RNA, 1682 nt
Organism: Lagopus leucura (white-tailed ptarmigan)
Lineage: Eukaryota; Metazoa; Chordata; Aves; Galliformes; Phasianidae
Exons: 3
Source: RefSeq, a predicted model, not a curated record
CAUAAACUGUGAUAGGCAGUGAUUAACCCAUCAAACUGGAGAAAUAUAAAGAAUCAUUAAAGUGACAAAAUACGGUGCCUUGUGAAGUUCCACGUUGCUCCAGAUUUCAGAGACAGAUGCUGCUCCGUGUACCCAGGACUUGUUUCAACUUCAGCUAAUUCAGGUCCUUUUUGCCUGGAGGAAGAUGUGGCUUCAUAGCGGAAUGGCAGCUAUUGAAAUACCAAACUUUUCACACGUACAUGUGUAUUAAUUAAUUGCAAUCAUGUAGAUACUUUCCUAACGAAGAACUGUUGUUUCCUGCAAGCAGUGAGACAAGAGCUUGCAUGACUGAGGCUGGCACACGCAGUAUUGAUGGGUUGCCAAGAAGGGUGCCGAGCAAAAUGUGCAGAAUCUGUUGGGUUGUGGGGCUGCUUCUCCCCUUCCUUCCUCAGGGUGAGCAGAAGGGGUGGACCAGGGCAGCAAGCAGGAAGGAUGCAGGUUUUGUGCUUCUCAUCUGGUCCACGUAGAUUCCAGCUGCCCGUGUACAUCACAGCAGCUGUCUGGGCCCAGCACCACAGCCCUGCAGUUUCUGCUCAGCUGAUGGCUGGUUUUGUCAGCGCAGAACUGAAAGGCACUUUGGGCACCUGAAGUCUGAGCUGCCCUCUCUGUGUCUGGCCUGUGCCCAUUGGGGUAGCUGUACCCCUAUGAUGCUGUUUGUUCAAUGUGGGAUUAGGCUAGGUUAAGCUCUUGCCUGCCCACUGCCAUGUCUUAGGAUCAUGGAAUAUCCCAAGUUGGAAGGAUCACUGAGUCCAACCCCUGGCUCCAUGCAGCACCACCCAAACCCGACGUUGCUGCCCUCCGCUCCCUGCGAGGAACUGCAGCCACCAUGGUGCCUCCCCUCAGCUCCUCUGCUCUGCACUGAGAAAACCCAGGGCCCUCACUGCUCUGCCUGCUGGGCUGCUCUGUGUUCAGUAUCCUAGGAAGGAUAUGAAUGUGGUUUUUCUUCUUUCUUUUUUGAGAUAAAAAUACCUAACAUGUGGAAUUUUGCUGUUGAUAUUGUAGAUGUUGAUAUUCUUUGUAGUUAUUCCUAUGCCAAAAUGAGUCUUGCUUUUGCCUUCACUGACUCCACCAAUGAAACUGUAAUAGCUUUUCACUUUGACCAGAGAUUCCAGUAAAAGUGGUAUAGAAAGGUUCUAGUUUUAAACCAAGAAACAAUUUCUCUGUUUCUAAUAGCACGAAGUCACAAAAAGACUCUUUAGUUUGUUAAUUGGAAGAUGAUACAGUAGGGCAUUUUGGGAUAAUAAAGGUGUGACCAGAAGAAUCUUAUUUAGUCUUGACAUCAGUUAAGAAAUCACGAUCCCAAAAAACUUGUGAUUUCUAUUUGGAAAACAGUGUUUAACAAAGGCCAAAUUAAAGGCCUUGAAUUGGAGCAUCUAUGCUAAAAAAUAGGUAUUUAUGAAAAGAAGAAGUCAAAGCCCGACUGUAAUGAUUAUGUUAAUGGGGGACAGCAGUGGAUGCACUAGCUGUAAACUGUCAAAAAGAUGUUUCACGCUUACUAGCAAAUACCCUUCAAUCAUGGUUAUGCAGCACAUAGGAAGUGACCAGGUAAGCAAGUGACAGUAAUUCAUCAAAAGGUUGAUUGCAUCUUCCUCCAAUUGCAAAGGGCUCUUUGCAUAUCUCUUCUAAGAACAGAAUUCCCCUCA